This 433-nucleotide ribosomal RNA is filed under the name uncultured bacterium. RNAcentral's name for it is "partial 16S ribosomal RNA". It matches the Rfam family "Bacterial small subunit ribosomal RNA", at positions 29 to 507 of the family's 1533-position model. The record is from RNAcentral.
AACGAACGCUGGCGGCAGGCCUAACACAUGCAAGUCGAGCGAGGACUUCGGUCCUAGCGGCGGACGGGUGAGUAACGCGUGGGAACGUGCCCUUUGCUUCGGAAUAGCCCUGGGAAACUGGGAGUAAUACCGGAUGAGCCCUUUGGGGGAAAGAUUUAUCGGCGAAGGAUCGGCCCGCGUUGGAUUAGGUAGUUGGUGGGGUAAUGGCCUACCAAGCCGACGAUCCAUAGCUGGUUUGAGAGGAUGAUCAGCCACACUGGGACUGAGACACGGCCCAGACUCCUACGGGAGGCAGCAGUGGGGGAUCUUAGACAAUGGGGGAAACCCUGAUCGAGCCAUGCCGCGUGAGCGAUGAAGGCCUUAGGGUUGUAAAGCUCUUUCAGCUGGGAAGAUAAUGACGGUACCAGCAGAAGAAGCCCCGGCUAACUCCGUG